GAAGUAAAAGUCGUAACAAGGUUUCCGUAGGUGAACCUGCGGAAGGAUCAUUACUGAACCGUCAACACGAGUUGUUGCUGGCCCUCAAAAGGGGGCAUGUGCACGCUCUGUUUGCAUCCACUCACACCUGUGCACACUCUGUAGUUCCACGGUCUGGGAGGUCCCAUCUUCCUUCUGUGGUUCUGCAUCUUUACACACACACUGUAACAUGGUCUUAUGGAAUGUAUGCAGCGUUUAACGCAAUAAAAUACAACUUUCAGCAACGGAUCUCUUGGCUCUCGCAUCGAUGAAGAACGCAGCGAAAUGCGAUAAGUAAUGUGAAUUGCAGAAUUCAGUGAAUCAUCGAAUCUUUGAACGCACCUUGCGCCCUUUGGCUAUUCCGAAGGGCAUGCCUGUUUGAGUAUCAUGAACACCUCAACUCUCACAGCUUGCUGUGAUGAGCUUGGACUUUGGAGGCUCUGCUGGCACACAGUCGGCUCCUCUCAAAUGAAUCAGCCUGCCGGUGUACGGCGGCAUCACGGGUGUGAUAACUAUCUGCGCUUGUGGUGCCUGCCAGACAACCUCCAGCAGUGGAGGUUGGCUGUGGGGCUUAUAAAUGUCUCUCCUCAGUGAAGACAGCUUUCUGAAUGUUUGAUCUCAAAUCAGGUAGGACUACCCGCUGAACUUAAGCAUAUCA
This 676-nucleotide ribosomal RNA is filed under the name uncultured Thelephoraceae. RNAcentral describes it as "eukaryotic LSU rRNA". The stretch from base 252 to 406 matches the Rfam family "5.8S ribosomal RNA". Lineage: Eukaryota; Fungi; Basidiomycota; Agaricomycetes; Thelephorales; Thelephoraceae. The record is from RNAcentral.